Molecule: ribosomal RNA, 637 nt
Filed under: Weissella minor
Lineage: Bacteria; Bacillati; Bacillota; Bacilli; Lactobacillales; Lactobacillaceae
Description: bacterial SSU rRNA
Rfam family: Bacterial small subunit ribosomal RNA
Source: RNAcentral
CUGAUAUGAAGAGCUUGCUCGGAUUUGAAGAUGAACAUUGCAAAGAGUGGCGAACGGGUGAGUAACACGUGGGAAACCUACCUCUUAGCGGGGGAUAACACUUGGAAACAAGUGCUAAUACCGCAUAAUACUGAUAACCGCAUGGUUAUCAGUUGAAAGAUGGUUCUGCUAUCACUAAGAGAUGGUCCCGCGGUGUAUUAGCUAGUUGGUAAGGUAAUGGCUUACCAAGGCAAUGAUACAUAGCCGAGUUGAGAGACUGAUCGGCCACAAUGGGACUGAGACACGGCCCAUACUCCUACGGGAGGCAGCAGUAGGGAAUCUUCCACAAUGGACGAAAGUCUGAUGGAGCAACGCCGCGUGUGUGAUGAAGGGUUUCGGCUCGUAAAACACUGUUGUAAGAGAAGAAUGACAUUGAGAGUAACUGUUCAGUGUGUGACGGUAUCUUACCAGAAAGGAACGGCUAAAUACGUGCCAGCAGCCGCGGUAAUACGUAUGUUCCAAGCGUUAUCCGGAUUUAUUGGGCGUAAAGCGAGCGCAGACGGUUGUUUAAGUCUGAAGUGAAAGCCCACAGCUUAACUGUGGAAGUGCUUUGGAAACUGGAUAACUUGAGUGCAGUAGAGGAGAGUGGAACUCCUGG